Molecule: ribosomal RNA, 505 nt
Filed under: uncultured bacterium
Lineage: Bacteria
Description: partial 16S ribosomal RNA
Rfam family: Bacterial small subunit ribosomal RNA
Source: RNAcentral
GACGAACGCUGGCGGCGUGCCUAAUACAUGCAGGUAGAACGCACAGUUUAUACCGUAGCUUGCUACACCAUAGACUGUGAGUUGCGAACGGGUGAGUAACGCGUAGGUAACCUGCCUGGUAGCGGGGGAUAACUAUUGGAAACGAUAGCUAAUACCGCAUAAUAUUAAUUAUUGCAUGAUAAUUAAUUGAAAGGUGCAAUUGCACCACUACCAGAUGGACCUGCGUUGUAUUAGCUAGUAGGUGAGGUAACGGCUCACCUAGGCGACGAUACAUAGCCGACCUGAGAGGGUGAUCGGCCACACUGGGACUGAGACACGGCCCAGACUCCUACGGGAGGCAGCAGUAGGGAAUCUUCGGCAAUGGACGAAAGUCUGACCGAGCAACGCCGCGUGAGUGAAGAAGGUUUUCGGAUCGUAAAGCUCUGUUGUAAGAGAAGAACGGGUGUGAGAGUGGAAAGUUCACACUGUGACGGUAGCUUACCAGAAAGGGACGGCUAACUACGUG